GCGCGAAACCUCCGCAAUGUGAGAAAUCGCGACGGGGGGACCCCAAGUGCCAUUCUUAACGGGAUGGCUUUUCUUGAGUGUAAAAAGCUUUUGGAAUAAGAGCUGGGCAAGACCGGUGCCAGCCGCCGCGGUAACACCGGCAGCUCUAGUGGUGGCCAGUUUUAUUGGGCCUAAAGCGUUCGUAGCCGGUUUAUUAAGUCUCUGGUGAAAUCCCGUAGCUUAACUAUGGGAAUUGCUGGAGAUACUAGUAGACUUGAGGUCGGGAGAGGUUAGAGGUACUCCCAGGGUAGGGGUGAAAUCCUGUAAUCCUGGGAGGACCACCUGUGGCGAAGGCGUCUAACUGGAACGAACCUGACGGUGAGGGACGAAAGCUAGGGGCGCGAACCGGAUUAGAGACCC
This 399-nucleotide ribosomal RNA is filed under the name uncultured bacterium. RNAcentral describes it as "bacterial SSU rRNA". It matches the Rfam family "Archaeal small subunit ribosomal RNA", at positions 339 to 738 of the family's 1478-position model. The record is from RNAcentral.